RNAcentral lists this ribosomal RNA (843 nucleotides) under uncultured bacterium. Its description in RNAcentral is "bacterial SSU rRNA". It matches the Rfam family "Bacterial small subunit ribosomal RNA", at positions 8 to 849 of the family's 1533-position model. The record is from RNAcentral.
AGAGUUUGAUUAUGGCUCAGGCCUAUCGCUGGCGGCGCGCCUAACACAUGCAAGUCGAACGGCCCUAUUUUGGGAGAAGUUUUCGGAUGGAUCUCGGGAUAGUUUAGUGGCGGACGGGUGAGUAACACGUGAGCAACCUGCCUUCGAGAGGGGAAUAACGGCUGGAAACGGUCGCUAAUACCGCAUAACAUACUGGAGGGACAUCCCUUUGGUAUCAAAGAUUUUAUCGCUCGGAGAUGGGCUCGCGUCCGAUUAGGUAGUUGGUGAGGUAACGGCUCACCAAGCCGACGAUCGGUAGCCGGACUGAGAGGUCGAACGGCCACAUUGGGACUGAGACACGGCCCAGACUCCUACGGGAGGCAGCAGUGGGGGAUAUUGCACAAUGGGGGAAACCCUGAUGCAGCGACGCCGCGUGUGGGAAGACGGUCCUCUGGAUUGUAAACCACUGUCCCCAGGGACAAAGAUGACGGUACCUGGGGAGGAAGCUCCGGCUAACUACGUGCCAGCAGCCGCGGUAAUACGUAGGGAGCGAGCGUUGUCCGGAAUUACUGGGUGUAAAGAGAGCGUACGCGGGACUGCAAGUUGGGUGUCAAAUCUACCGGCUCAACCGGUAUCCGCACUCAAAACUGCAGUUCUUGAGUGAAGUAGAGGCAGGCGGAAUUCCUAGUGUAGCGGUGAAAUGCGUAGAUAUUAGGAGGAACACCAGUGGCGAAGGCGGCCUGCUGGGCUUUUACUGACGCUGAGGCUCGAAAGUGUGGGGAGCAAACCGGAUUAGAUACCCUGGUAAUCCGCACCGUAAACAAUGAUUCCUAAGGGUGGGGGGUCUGACCCCUUCCGGGCCGG